UACGUAGGGGGCGAGCGUUGUCCGGAUUUACUGGGCGUAAAGAGCGCGCAGGCGGUCGUUCAAGUCGAGUGUGAAAGCCCCCGGCUCAACUGGGGAGGGUCACGCGAUACUGAUCGACUCGAAGGCAGGAGAGGGUAGUGGAAUUCCCGGUGUAGUGGUGAAAUGCGUAGAUAUCGGGAGGAACACCAGUGGCGAAGGCGACUACCUGGCCUGUUCUUGACGCUGAGGCGCGAAAGCUAGGGGAGCAAACGGG
RNAcentral lists this ribosomal RNA (253 nucleotides) under uncultured bacterium. RNAcentral describes it as "partial 16S ribosomal RNA". It matches the Rfam family "Bacterial small subunit ribosomal RNA", at positions 524 to 776 of the family's 1533-position model. The record is from RNAcentral.